GACGAACGCUGGCGGCGCGCCUAACACAUGCAAGUCGAACGGGGAUAGAUGGAAGCUUGCUUCUAUCUAUUCUAGUGGCGAACGGGUGAGUAACACGUGAGCAACCUGCCCUUCAGAGGGGGACAACGUUUGGAAACGAACGCUAAUACCGCAUAACAUCCAGAUGUGGCAUCGCAUCUGGAUCAAAGGAGAAAUCCGCUGAGGGAUGGGCUCGCGACCGAUUAGAUAGUUGGUGAGGUAACGGCUCACCAAGUCGACGAUCGGUAGCCGGACUGAGAGGUUGAACGGCCACAUUGGGACUGAGACACGGCCCAGACUCCUACGGGAGGCAGCAGUGGGGGAUAUUGCACAAUGGGCGAAAGCCUGAUGCAGCGACGCCGCGUGAGGGAAGAAGGUUUUCGGAUUGUAAACCUCUGUCUUUGGGGAAGAGAAGAAGACGGUACCCAAGGAGGAAGCCACGGCUAACUACGUGCCAGCAGCCGCAG
RNAcentral lists this ribosomal RNA (485 nucleotides) under uncultured bacterium. Its description in RNAcentral is "bacterial SSU rRNA". It matches the Rfam family "Bacterial small subunit ribosomal RNA", at positions 28 to 520 of the family's 1533-position model. The record is from RNAcentral.